RNAcentral lists this unclassified non-coding RNA (205 nucleotides) under Hevea brasiliensis (rubber tree). The record is from RNAcentral. Lineage: Eukaryota; Viridiplantae; Streptophyta; Magnoliopsida; Malpighiales; Euphorbiaceae.
GGGAGCAGUAACACAGCUAGAUUUCCGCAGUUUGUUUGCAAAACGCCUCACCGUGCAGGCGGCUGGCUUGCGAAACCGAUCUCCUGAAAACAAAGCAGUCAUUGUAAGUGAAGUUGAGAAGAUAGUUUGGCCAGCCAUUGCAGCAGGCAAGGUGAAGCCUGUGAUCUUCAAGUAUCUCCCAUUGUCUGGAGCAGCAGAAGCUCAC